This 370-nucleotide ribosomal RNA is filed under the name uncultured organism. RNAcentral's name for it is "bacterial SSU rRNA". It matches the Rfam family "Bacterial small subunit ribosomal RNA", at positions 528 to 896 of the family's 1533-position model. The record is from RNAcentral.
CGAGGGGCGAGCGUUGUUCGGAAUUACUGGGCGUAAAGGGCGCGUAGGCGGCGACCCAAGUCAGAUGUGAAAGUCCUGGGCUUAACCUGGGGACUGCAUUUGAUACUGGGUUGCUUGAAUUCGGGAGAGGAUAGCGGAAUUCCCAGUGUAGAGGUGAAAUUCGUAGAUAUUGGGAAGAACACCGGUGGCGAAGGCGGCUAUCUGGACCGACAUUGACGCUGAGGCGCGAAAGCGUGGGGGAGCAAACAGGAUUAGAUACCCUGGUAGUCCACGCCGUAAACGAUGAAAUGCUAGACGCUGGGGAGCAUGCUCUUCGGUGUCGCAGCUAACGCAUUAAGCAUUCCGCCUGGGGAGUACGGUCGCAAGAUUA